RNAcentral lists this long non-coding RNA (264 nucleotides) under Zostera marina. RNAcentral's name for it is "long non-coding RNA (ZMAR_LNC002395)". The record is from RNAcentral. Lineage: Eukaryota; Viridiplantae; Streptophyta; Magnoliopsida; Alismatales; Zosteraceae.
CGCUCUUUUUCUUUUUUUUAGUUCCGACCACCUUUCGUAACGCCUCUGUCGUGAAUAUUAUCGAUCUUCCGCGCGGUUGUGAAGUGGUGUGCUCCUCUUGUGGCGUCGUAGUUUCUUGCGUUGGUAGUUGAGUAGGCGGUGCGGCGGCUCUAGAAGAUGACGCUCCAGGAGUAUAAAUGUUCUGCGCUGCAUCGUUGUUGAAGAUUGGCGGAAACUCCGGUAAGCGCAAGUUCGGAUUUUGAGCGAGCAUUGCGGAGUUGUAUU